CCUACGGGUGGCAGCAGUCGAGAAUCAUUCACAAUGGGGGAAACCCUGAUGGUGCGACGCCGCGUGGGGGAAUGAAGGUUUUCUGAUUGUAAACCCCUGUCAUGUGGGAGCAAAUGAAAAUGACAGUACCACAAGAGGAAGAGACGGCUAACUCUGUGUCAGCAGCCGCGGUAAUACAGAGGGCGCAAGCGUUGUUCGGAAUGACUGGGCGGAAAGGGUGCGGAGGCGGUUUCGUAAGGCGAGUGUGAAAGGCGGGGGCUCAACCCGCGGACGGCACAUGAUACUGCGAAACUAGAGUAAGGGAGGGGGAAGCGGAAUUCUCGGUGUAGCAGUGAAAUGCGUAGAUAUCGGGAGGAACACUCGUGGCGAAGGCGGGUUACUGGACAUUAACUGACGCUGAGGCACGAAGGCGAGGGGAGCGAAAGGGAUUAGAUACCCCAGUAGUC
RNAcentral lists this ribosomal RNA (446 nucleotides) under uncultured bacterium. Its description in RNAcentral is "partial 16S ribosomal RNA". It matches the Rfam family "Bacterial small subunit ribosomal RNA", at positions 338 to 795 of the family's 1533-position model. The record is from RNAcentral.